AUUGAACGCUGGCGGCAGGCCUAACACAUGCCAGUCGAGCGGAUGAAGGGAGCUUGCUCCUGGAUUCAGCGGUGGACGGGUGAGUAAUGCCUAGGAAUCUGCCUGGUAGUGGGGGAUAACGUCCGGAAGCGGGCGCUAAUACCGCAUACGUCCUGAGGGAGAAAGUGGGGGAUCUUCGGACCUCACGCUAUCAGAUGAGCCUAGGUCGGAUUAGCUAGUUGGUGGGGUAAAGGCCUACCAAGGCGACGAUCCGUAACUGGUCUGAGAGGAUGAUCAGUCACACUGGAACUGAGACACGGUCCAGACUCCUACGGGAGGCAGCAGUGGGGAAUAUUGGACAAUGGGCGAAAGCCUGAUCCAGCCAUGCCGCGUGUGUGAAGAAGGUCUUCGGAUUGUAAAGCACUUUAAGUUGGGAGGAAGGGCAGUAAGUUAAUACCUUGCUGUUUUGACGUUACCAACAGAAUAAGCACCGGCUAACUUCGUG
Molecule: ribosomal RNA, 484 nt
Filed under: uncultured bacterium
Lineage: Bacteria
Description: partial 16S ribosomal RNA
Rfam family: Bacterial small subunit ribosomal RNA
Source: RNAcentral